Molecule: ribosomal RNA, 492 nt
Filed under: uncultured bacterium
Lineage: Bacteria
Description: partial 16S ribosomal RNA
Rfam family: Bacterial small subunit ribosomal RNA
Source: RNAcentral
AGUGAACGCUGGCGGUAGGCCUAACACAUGCAAGUCGAACGGCAGCACAGUAAGAGCUUGCUCUUACGGGUGGCGAGUGGCGGACGGGUGAGGAAUACAUCGGAAUCUACUUUUUCGUGGGGGAUAACGUAGGGAAACUUACGCUAAUACCGCAUACGACCUACGGGUGAAAGCAGGGGAUCUUCGGACCUUGCGCGAUUGAAUGAUGCGAUGUCGGAUUAGCUAGUUGGCGGGGUAAAGGCCCACCAAGGCGACGAUCCGUAGCUGGUCUGAGAGGAUGAUCAGCCACACUGGAACUGAGACACGGUCCAGACUCCUGCGGGAGGCAGCAGUGGGGAAUAUUGGACAAUGGGCGCAAGCCUGAUCCAGCCAUACCGCGUGGGUGAAGAAGGCCUUCGGGUUGUAAAGCCCUUUUGUUGGGAAAGAAAAGCAGCAGGUUAAUACCCCGCUGUUCUGACGGUACCCAAAGAAUAAGCACCGGCUAACUUCGUG